Non-coding RNA from Coturnix japonica (Japanese quail), 8665 nucleotides. NCBI's taxonomy places the organism in Eukaryota, Metazoa, Chordata, Aves, Galliformes, Phasianidae. The record is from RefSeq and is a predicted model, not a curated record.
UUUGCCUUGCUAAUCUUUCAUGGUUUCCUAGGCAAUGAAAAGGGAACGAACGUACAAUAGACCACAGAUUUUCAUUUAGUUUGUAUUCAGCAGUAAUGAAAGUGUCUAUAUUGGCAAAGAAAGAAAUAAUGUAGACUCAGAAAAUAAAUAAGAUACAUAAAGAAGUCAGCCAAUAGUGGUAGCCAGAACACAUAAUUUUCAAUCCCACAUUACAAUGAAAUAAAAACAAACAACCACAAAACACAAAGCAAGCCUUCCCCAAGCAGAAUUCUUUCCAAUUUUACAGGGGAAAAAAUAGUUUCAAAUUACUUCAGAAGGACAUUUUGGCUUCUGUUGUCUCCCUUUCCUUGAUGCCAGAUGCAUCAACUAUUUUUGACACCAAUAUUUUCUCAGAUAAACUACUGGUUUCUUAACUGUCAUUCUCACUGGAAAUUCUAUACUGUUUUCAUCUUUGCUUUACUUUCUUGCAUAACUUCCAGGCAUUGAGAUGCUGACUGCAUUUGAAGGGUCAUUUUAAAGCAUUAGAUUUACAGAAUGUAAUCAGAUCUAGGCCCUUCAGGUCCAUGGAGAAAACAAAAAGAUAGAUUACUGAAAGUGAGAUCUCCAGAAGUCAUUCAGAGGUGCACUGCUGAUGUUGCUGGGCCUUCUGCUGAACAGCUUAGCCAUUUCCAACAUAGCUUGAUAGCCAAGGCUUUAGAAAAGGAGAAAUAGAAGUAAUCUCAAUGGUUUGAUCCUCAUGGUGUGUUUUAUGAAAGAGUUUGUACUAAAUUGCUGCUACAUUUGCUCUAAGUAAUGAGCUUCCAGGUAGACUUUUGAUUCUUACUCUUCUAAGAUCUACAUGUUGUGAUGGACAAAUAUUGGCUACUCAAUGACCUCGAAGGUUCCUUCCAACUUAGGUUAUUCUAGGAAAUGCUCUGGGUGCCAAACCCUACUCCUGAAAACCCACUAGUCAGACUACCUAAGAGGUGACAUCUUGCAAAAUACAGCUUCUGCUCUUACCUGCUGAGGAACUGACUCUUUCACAGGUUAACCACCCCUGCAGACUCUGCAGAUACACACAGGUCUUGGCAAUGCACCAUAGUCUUCCCAUUAUUAUUACACAUGAAAUGAAAAUUUCAUGUAACUACAUUAUAAAAUCGGGGUUGGAAUUGGUUGAAGGUUUGCUUUGUUUUGCAAAAGUACCAUCAUUUAGUUUUCUAAAGUACUGUCAAUAUUUGUUCUUGGUAGGUUGUUUUAUGCCUGAGGCCAUUAUUUAGUCUUUAACAACAGUGUUCGGGGAAUACAGCAGCCAGCAAAUGGAUGGGCUUUCUUUUUUUAGAUGUGAUGUAUCAUCUCUGAUUUUGCAAAAUAUAAGAAGUGAGACUGUGUCACAGUCGGCAUUUCUUGGUGCAUUUGAGAAAUGCCUGAUACCGGAGUGUAAACUGCUGUAAGCUGACAGAAGCGAAGGAUUUUUCAUGUUUAUUUCCAAAAUUAUUGCUCUAGGCUGACACUUGAAAAAAAACAAAUUGCCAACUGUGUAGAACGGCUGUUUUGUGUAUAAUACUGUGAAAAGAUCUGAUUUCUCUGGGUCUUCUGGUAAAGUCUAGCGUAUUCACAGCAGGUAAGAUUUAUUGGGCUGUUAAUUAUUUUAAUGUGCCAAACUGUCUGAUCUAUAUGAAGAGUCACAGAUGUCAAGCCUUACAGCUAAGUCUUCUCUUUCAUGUCCUUUGCCCAGUGACACACAGAGAGGAAACAGGUCGCUUCAGGAGAGAAUGCGGUGCAGCCCCAGAUAUUGUACCUGCUUGGAAAAGGAAGCAUUGCAGACUUCUCCAAGAUCUGGAUGAAGUGAUUUAGCUGCAAGCACUAAGGAGUGACCCCUUGGGUUUUUAACUAUGCCAGCUUCCCAGGGAGUGCAGACCUCGACUCUGAGCCUGCUCCUUGCUCAGUGCAGGCCAUGAUCUUCAGCUGAUUUGCUGUCAGUGCUGCAGAGAGGAGGCUACAUCGUGCUGCCAGCUGUGCCUGUUGGUAUGUAACCCCAUUCCCUGAAAAAAUGCGCACACAUCAGGAAAGGAAAUGAGAGGGUAGUGGGGUAAUACUGUCAGGAAUUUUCCUUCUACAGUUAAUUGUAAGCCAGGUAGUCCAUCAGCUUUUACUGAUCCUUGGGAAACUCCAUGUGAGUGCACAGCUGACAGUGCUUAGUGCUGACAAGUCAGGUAGAGGAGCCCCAGCCAUCUGGAUGGGCUGUGGAUGAGAAUCUCCCCAGCCUCAGAGGCUGUUUCCCAUAGCACUGUCUCUGCAGGGCCUUUUCCAAUUGCUGGCAGAGAUUCAGACUGUAUCUGAGUGUGGAGAAGACACUCUUGUACCUGCCAUGCUGAACCAUCCUGCUCUCAGCAGCAAAAAAACAACUCUGGCAAAAGGAAUUUGAAACCAGUGUCUAAAAGAGAUUAGCUCAGAGUAGCUUAACUAGCAGAAUAUAUGCGUUUUUGCUGGUGACGUUUGCUAAAGGAUUGCUCUGUUCUCUGAUGGUUUUUAAAGCAGUAACAGAAAAGCUCAUUCUGCCAAAAAAAAUGCUUCAAUGUUGUAUUGAGCUGGAUAGCUAUUACAAAUUCCUUUGCUGUAUGUUAUGCCUUUAAAUCUCUCGAGAGUCCUCUGGCUUUGAGGUAGACAUCCAUUUUGUAUGCAAGGCACUACAGUCUCUUGCAGAUAUGUAAAACACAGUUUCCUUGAGGAUAUUUUCUCUCGUUUUAGCCUGGCUCCUUGAGGAAAUCCUCACUUUGGGAGUGAGUGGGAAGUUUACAUGCCUACAUCUGUCCUUCCGUGUUCCCUGGGUGCUGCCAUUGUUCUAUUUCAGUUUUUUCAGGCAAGUGAGAAAAGUGGCAGUGGGAGUUCAUGGCUUAUUAAACACCAGAGAAUCUACAGCAGCCAGCAGCACUAUAAACACUUUGUUAUUGAAAAAGCUUUACCGCAGAUAUAUACAUUCCUGAGCUCUAGAAAUUCGCUCAUGACCUGGGAGAGAACAGCUUUCAAACUCUCAGCACAGCAGGAGAUGCACCUGAGGCCAUACAUGGUCCCUUAUUGGAGAGUUAACUGGGGACUAUUAGAUACUGGAGGCACUGUAGGAAAGAAAUGGGCUGGUGGAUUGCUUCAGUCCUCAGCAUUCAGGUAUCACUGUUGACAGGGACUAUGAGAGGCUGGAUAAAGCCAGGCUGCUCAGAACACUGUGAUUGUGGCAGUGCCAGGCUCCAGGGGCCUCUCUGCUGGAAAAUAUUGCAGGGGAUCAAUAUAUAUCAGCAGUGUUAACUCAGGAGAUGGUAGCUACCUACAGAAACCAGCAGAUGCAGAUGACAGCAAUCCUUGGUAGAAUUCAGGCAGAGUUAUUUAAUCAGGCGAUACAAAUCCAUAGGAAUCAAAAUUUAUUAGUUCUAGCACUCAUCAACCUGCCCAUUUCCCCCCGCCAUUUUCUCACACUUGGACUGGAUUUAAGAGGCUGCUUCUCACAAAGGGAAGAACACAGACCUCCUAAUACCAGAUUUACAGUAUAUUCCAAAUUCUUCGAAGCUAGAAUUUUGUUUGGCUUCUACAAAAGUUAUGUGCAGGGCCAUGGCAUAUUUCUUCCCUGCCUCAUUCCCUCACCAGGCAGUAAUUAUUUCAAACAGGUUUCCUCGCUACCCAGCCAUACUGGUCUCCUGCAUCAUUCUGACUAUGGCACUGAAACACAACUGGAAUCCAGUUCCUCAGACCUACAGAAUCACAGCUAAGGAAUUUUCCAGGUGCAUUCUCCAUAUCAUCCCCAGUAUCACCCUUCUCACCUAAGAUGGAGCUAUGACUUUAUAACAGACCUCUCUGAAACGUUUGCUGGUGCUUCAGGAGAUGAGCACCCUGCUGUGCUCCUCUAAAAUAGAUCAGUCAUGGAGAAUUGCAUUGCUUAUUGCAGGAAGACUUGACUCCAAACUACAGAGAGAAUUCCUACUGAAAGUGGGUGCCUCCAUCUGCCCCUCUGUUUGGUUCUUGGGCAUCCACCUGCAUUUCUCUCCCCGCAGCACAGAGCACAGCACCAGCAUCAUCAUCCGUGAGUACAGCACAUCCAGACUCAACAGCUUUGAGUCUUAUUCCUUAGCCUGUUUUCUUAGUGCUGACAGUUUGGUAAAUGUUGUUUAGUGCAUUUCUUAAGUGUAGAAAGUGUAAUAUUCACAGUUGUAUUAUAUUCCAGGAUAGAAAGCUACAGCACAGGAGAUGCUUCUACUGCAUGAAGCCGUGUUUCCUGCUGUUUUCUCACAGCCCUCUACUUCUGUGCUGGCACUUGCGUUUAUACUUGCCCUCACAGUGGAUAAACUUCAGGUACUGAAGAAGAAGCCUGCAGUUCUUGGGAGCUGGUACAGCCCAGCACUGUCAGCAAGCAGUAUGUGAAGCUGCAAGGUCUGCUCCUCCCAGCUUAUCCAGAUCCCUCCAGUAAGUGUCACCACUUUUACUCGGCAUAAAUGAGCCUCAUUCUUUGAGCUGGACUCAGUGUAAAUCAAACCCGUGACAUUAAUGCCAGCAGGUGGCUGUUAGUCCCCUCAUUGGCAUGAAUAGACUUUUGCUUCUUUACAUACAUGCAGAAAUCUUGUAGUAUGUUUUUAACACUGCAGUUUAUUGACAGAUCUCAUCUGUGACAUCAGAUCUGUUCCUCCUUCCUCUCUUCUUCCCUUUCAAACAAUAUGAGAAUGAUCCAUUGCUGUUCUCUUGAAGCAGCCAUAUGGCCAGCAAUAUGUUACUAGAUGUACAUCCUUUUCUUUUUUCCUCUCUCAUCAGUGCUAUUAUAUCAGGAAAUCUAAGCAGUCCCAGUCCUUUGUGCAGUCUGGGAGGGGGUUGGAUCCUCUGCCCAGUCACAUGGCUGCUGCUGUGAAUGUACAAGUGGAAGUAUCAGCUUCAGGCUUGCAGUGCUUGACAUUGCUAGGGUUAAUCUCUGCCCUAACCCCAGAAUUGAUUUAGCUAAUAGGGAUUCUGAAAAUCUCAGUUUUAUUUAUAAAUGGGAUGGUUUAAUUAUUUAUUAUCCCUGUUUCAUUAAAUGUGAAACUAAAACACUUCUGCUUGUGGAAGAACAAACACAAUCCCUUGUGGAAGAUAAUAAACAUAAUAUAACGGAUCUGUUUGCAAACAAAGCAUCCUUUGUCUGGAUAUUCUUUUAUUUGCAUCCUUGUGAUAUAUAAAUCUUUGUCUUUCUGCUCUGAUGGAAAAUGAUUUCAUUCUCUCUGUCUCUCUUUUCCCCUAUUCCUCCUGCACUGUCCAUUAGCACCAUCUAAAUCCCUCACAUUGCAUUAGAGGCUUGUUCUGUUUGUAAUUAGGCAGUGAUGUAGUCAUAUGUAACGCUGCGUUUGAAAGAUGCUCUCAGCUACAUUUGAAAGCUAGAUAUUCUGAACAUGGUGCAUUAGGGUUAAUUACCUAAUAAUUUACAGUAUUAAAUGCAGCUACAGACACUUAAAUUUUCACUAAUUGUGGUACUGAAGAACAUAAGGAUUCACUCAUAUUUGAGCACUUUGGCUGUCAAAAUCCUUCAAGGCAUUUGUAUGUCCUCUCCUUCUCCUUGGCUUCAGUAGCACAUGAGCAGCUGUAGGACAUCACUGAAAGAACUGGGAUGUCAUCAUAUUAAUUUAAAAAUGAUUUUCUUAGUAUAAUUCAGAUUUCAAAGGUACAUCAAUUGACUGUUAUUGAAUUACAGGAUGUCAAAUGUAUUAUGCUAUGGAGGUAAUACUAAUAGGGUUUGAUGAUGUCAGAAAGAUCGUUUUGCAGGUUCCCCGGUGCAAAGAUAAGCAUGAACUGAGAGCCAGAGAAACCCCAACUCUACACCAUCUCAGUCUCCUUCUUGACACUGUACUACAGCAUGCUGGCUGUGAAAAUAUUCAGUGUGUUUUUGGCUAUGACAAAUAACUAUCUCACACCUUGUAACAAGCUUGCACCUCUUUACUUCUAAUAGAAAAGGGGGGUGUGCAAAAGCAUUAAUGGCAUUUAUUAAAUGCAAAGGAUUUUAAGGGUUCACCAACCUUCCAGAUCUCUGAGCUGAGCUUCAAGCAGCACUCUGUCUGACAUCUUAUAUUCAAAGAGAAGCAAAUCAAAAGAAGAACAGCUUUUAAUAUCUAAAGUUACCUAGAAAAAAUAACCUAGAAAGCAUACCGAGGCCUUGAAAAGUGCUAAGAGCUUUGUUUCAACAUAUUAUAAAGCUUUCAUCGUUAAGUACCAAAAGGCACUAAAUCACAAAGACCCAUGGCAGACAAAACUGUUAAACUAAGGGUGAUUUACUGAGAAGAGAGCUCAGCAAACCACGCAGUCACUUCACCUUUAAAAUACUGUUCUUUCAUCCACUGUUGAAUUGUGCAAUCUUCAUAUUUAAAGGGAAAUCAAUAUCAUUGAUUACACACAAUAAAAGCUAUUCCAUAGGACACCGUUACUAAAUCUAGCUGCUGGAAAAAUAUUUCUUUUUGUAAAUCAAACUAAUAAAAAUCAGUUUGCGUUUCUCCUAACUAGGCACAACUACAACACACAAUAUAAUGAGCAGAGAAUUUCAUAUUCUACCAAGGAAACAUACAGCACUGAUUUGAAAAAGCCUCUUACAUCCCUGCUUGUUUCUCAUGCAUGCACCUCUCUAUAGCCAGCAGUUUGCUGGCACCUUGUAUUUAAGUGAAACAUUUGAACAGCUCUCGCUCCUCUCCAGAAGAUGCACACAGCAAUACUUACAGGAGGGGCACAGCCCCAGCACAACCAAACUGCCAGCACAAUGCAGUUCACACAGGCACAGCCCUCAGGCUCUGUCCCCCUGUGUCUUGUCCCACAGUACUUACACCCAGCACAUCUUAUACUGGCAGGCAAUUCAGCAGUGCUGCUGCUGUUGGAACUAGAGGGCUAUUUUUCAGUGUUAGCAGCACCAUUCCACCUGAGCACCGAAUUUCUCUUAUAAUGGUUUUAUCACAGUCUCACUCCCUCUGACUUACAGUUCUAAAUAGUCAAGGGGUCUUUCUUGGAGAGUCUUCACUUUUGCAGUACUGAAAAGAUUAAGAUGCUCAAGAAUUUAUCUGGUAGACCAGUUUGCUGUUCACAAUUCAGAAGGCAUAAACACUGCCUACACUUCUCAAGUUAAUUUAAGUAAGUUGGAUUUGCUCUGCCACCAGUUUAAAUCUUACCCUAAAAUUAAAUCAGUCUUCAUUCAGCUUUAAAAUGUGCUAAAUUGUUCAGAUGUUCUAAAACUCUUCUUCCUUAAGGCUUCCAAGUGAAAUUCUACAUUUAUUUAAUAAAGCAGCCAGGAUUUACUAUAGUGGUAGUGGUAAGCACUUUUUACUUUCCUCAAGAUAGAUUGGAGUUGACUGUAUACUUUUUUUUUUGCUACAGCUGCACAAGUUUACAAGUCACAAUUGAAUUACCAAACUGAGGAAAAUAAAGAUUAUUCCUGUGGGUGCAAUGCAGGUUGCAGACUUGUUUUCUUUUAAAGAAGGGUUUAAAGAAUUAGCAAUAAAUGUUAUCAACUGCAGCUAGAAAAUGAUGCUGACUUAUUACUUCGUGGUGAUCCUAAGGGGCAGUAUGAAAACCAAAUUCCAUAGUUGAGGUUUCCAGAAGAAAAAAAGAAAGAAAAGUAUCCAACAAUGCCUUUUGAACACCCUACAUUUGGAUUUACAGUAUAGGCAAAAAGACUGAGCUUACAGAGCUCACAGGCAACCCUGCCUUGUACCUAAAGCUGCACAGCCCUGCAGCACCCAAAUGGCUACUCAUUCACUUACAGUAUGUUUCUAUUGCCACUGGGAAGGUACAAGGUGAGGAUGUUUCUACUGACAGCCUCUCCUAAUGGCACCUUCAGUGCAGACCUCCAGCAACACACACACCCCAACAGGCGAGGGCAACACUGAGCCCUCCUCACCUGUCUCAUGACAUGGUGGAGUGAGUGCUGUCCCGAUCUGGACAGGCACUGCUACUCCAAAGGCAUUCCCCUUUGUAUCUACCACCCAAUAACCAAGUGCCUUUCAGGAUUCUAUGUCUUAGCCAAGAUUGAUAUUGACAGGUACUAAAACCUCACAGCUUUUUUCACCAAUUAUAUGUGCAUAGAAUUCAAUACAACAUACUUACACAAACUGGUGGUGUGGAUUACAGUCUGCAAGCCAGAAUUUUAAAAUCAGUUUCUCAGUUUCUAACAUUCUCAUUCAAAGUUGUAUGCCCUCAGCAGCCUAAGAGACCUACAGAGAAGUAUCUUCCAUACUCAUGCAGUUAAAUAAUUCCUGUACAAAAUGUACAUGACAGCUGAAUCACGCCUGGUGAGUCACUAUUUAUAAUAGACUAAGCCUGGACUAUCUGACUUAACCUGUAUUGAAUUCAAGACAGCUAAGAUAGAUGGUCUUGGCUCUAUCUUCUCCAGAAACCUUUAUUCUUCUUGCAGGAAUCCAAUUAAGUGGGCAACAAAAAUCAAAAUGCAGGACAGCACAGUAGAAUUCUCUCUUCUACAACGCUACCACCUUAAUAUUCUCAUGUUUUAUGUAAUCAUUCUUCAGGUCUUCUCUUUAUUUGGGUCACAGUUUUGCUUUCAGGAAAUGAACCAGGGUCUAUUUCUUACAAAGAAAUGAGCAGUGCAGUUUCUUUAAACUCAUAAGUCAAGUUAUUUUCUGCCUUUUUAUCUAUCACAGAAUCAUAGAAUGGCCUGGGUUGAAAAAGACUUCAGUGAUCAUCCAGU